UUGCGUAGGUGGCAUAGUAAGCGAGUAGUGAAAGCGUGUGGCUCAACCAUACUCACAUUAUUUGAACUGCUAAGCUAGAGGAUGAGAGAGGUUAUUGGAAUUCCCAGUGUAGGAGUGAAAUCCGCAGAUAUUGGGAGGAACACCGAUGGCGUAGGCAGAUAACUGGCUCAUUCCUGACACUAAGGCACGAAAGGCGUGGGGAGCAAACG
Molecule: ribosomal RNA, 209 nt
Filed under: uncultured bacterium
Lineage: Bacteria
Description: partial 16S ribosomal RNA
Rfam family: Bacterial small subunit ribosomal RNA
Source: RNAcentral